Molecule: ribosomal RNA, 1049 nt
Filed under: uncultured bacterium
Lineage: Bacteria
Description: bacterial SSU rRNA
Rfam family: Bacterial small subunit ribosomal RNA
Source: RNAcentral
CGGGAGGCAGCAGUGGGAAUAUUGCACAUGGGGCGCAGCCCUGAUGCAGCGACGCGGCGUGAGGGAUGACGGCCUUCGGGUUUGUAACCCUCUGUUAGCAUCGAGAGCGNNAAAGUGACGGUAGGUGCAGAGAAAGCGCGGGCUAACUACGUGCCAGCAGCCGCGGUAAUACGUAGGGCGCGAGCGUUGUCCGGAAUUAUUGGGCGUAAAGAGCUUGUAGGCGGUUGGUCGCGUCUGCUGUGAAAGGCUGGGGCUUAACCCUGGUUUUGCAGUGGGUACGGGCUAACUAGAGUGCAGUAGGGGAGACUGGAAUUCCUGGUGUAGCGGUGGAAUGCGCAGAUAUCAGGAGGAACACCGAUGGCGAAGGCAGGUCUCUGGGCUGUAACUGACGCUGAGAAGCGAAAGCAUGGGGAGCGAACAGGAUUAGAUACCCUGGUAGUCCAUGCCGUAAACGUUGGGCACUAGGUGUGGGGGACAUUCCACGUUUUCCGCGCCGUAGCUAACGCAUUAAGUGCCCCGCCUGGGGAGUACGGCCGCAAGGCUAAAACUCAAAGAAAUUGACGGGGGCCCGCACAAGCGGCGGAGCAUGCGGAUUAAUUCGAUGCAACGCGAAGAACCUUACCAAGGCUUGACAUAUACUGGACUGCGUCAGAGAUGGCGUUUCCCUUCGGGGCUGGUAUACAGGUGGUGCAUGGUUGUCGUCAGCUCGUGUCGUGAGAUGUUGGGUUAAGUCCCGCAACGAGCGCAACCCUCGUUCUAUGUUGCCAGCACGUGAUGGUGGGGACUCAUAGGAGACUGCCGGGGUCAACUCGGAGGAAGGUGGGGAUGACGUCAAAUCAUCAUGCCCCUUAUGUCUUGGGCUUCACGCAUGCUACAAUGGCCGGUACAGAGGGUUGCGAUACUGUGAGGUGGAGCUAAUCCCUAAAAGCCGGUCUCAGUUCGGAUUGGGGUCUGCAACUCGACCCCAUGAAGUCGGAGUCGCUAGUAAUCGCAGAUCAGCAACGCUGCGGUGAAUACGUUCUCGGGCUUUGCACACACCGCCCGUCAAG